AGAGUUUGAUCAUGGCUCAGAAUCAACGCUGGCGGCGCGCUUAACACAUGCAAGUCGCACGAGAAAGGGAGCAAUCCUAAGUAAAGUGGCGCACGGGUGAGUAACACGUGGAUCAUCUACCUUUUAGUGGGGAAUACCUCUGGGAAACCGGAGACAAUACCGCAUAAGCCCGCAAGGGGAAAGCAGCAAUGCGCUGAAAGAGGAGUCCGCGGCCGAUUAGCUAGUUGGCGGGGCAAUGGCCCACCAAGGCGAAGAUCGGUAGCCGGCCUGAGAGGGCACACGGCCACACUGGCACUGAAACACGGGCCAGACUCCUACGGGAGGCAGCAGUGGGGAAUCUUGCACAAUGGACGAAAGUCUGAUGCAGCGACGCCGCGUGAGCGAUGAAGCCCUUCGGGGUGUAAAGCUCUUUCGACGGGAACGAUAAUGACGGUACCCGGAGAAGAAGCUGCGGCUAACUACGUGCCAGCAGCCGCGGUAAUACGUAGGCAGCGAGCGUUGUUCGGAAUUACUGGGCGUAAAGAGUGUGUAGGCGGUGUUCCCAGUCUGUUGUGAAAUCUCCCGGCUUAACUGGGAGGGUGCAGCGGAAACUAGAAUGCUAGAGGGUGGGAGAGGUAAGCGGAAUUCCUGGUGUAGCGGUGAAAUGCGUAGAUAUCAGGAGGAACACCUGGUGUAGACAGCUUACUGGACCACUUCUGACGCUGAGACACGAAAGCGUGGGUAGCAAACAGGAUUAGAUACCCUAGUAGUCC
RNAcentral lists this ribosomal RNA (752 nucleotides) under uncultured bacterium. Its description in RNAcentral is "bacterial SSU rRNA". It matches the Rfam family "Bacterial small subunit ribosomal RNA", at positions 8 to 796 of the family's 1533-position model. The record is from RNAcentral.